CAGGACGUGGUGCUGCGAACAUUCAUCUUGCCUCUGCCUGGUGAUCUGGAUCCCCCUGUUUCAGGCUCUCUGCAGCAGCCCUGACUUGAAUUGGCUGUGUGAUCUGAGGCUGUUCACUUAACCUCUCUGGUUAUCCAUAUCCUCAUCCAUAGAAUGGAGAUAAUCAUUCUCACCACCGAGGGGUGCUGUGAGGAUCGGGCAAGGCCACAAGAAGCAAAAUGCUCUAGAAUGGUGCCAGUAGCCAUAUGAGGAAUCAAAACUAUUUCAAAUUAAAAAUUCAGUUCCCAGUCUCACCAGCCACUUUUCAAGGGCUCCAUAGCUAAUAAGGUGAGUGGCUAAUGCAUUGAGCAGCCCAGAUAUAGGGAAUUUCCACCCUUAAAAAAAGUUACAUUAGAUAGUGCUGCUUUAGUCUUUGCUCUUUCCUAAUUUUUUCUUUUUCUUUUUUUUCUUUUUUUUUUUUUUUAGCAUUUGGGUCUUGCUCUGUUACCCAGGCUGGAGUGCAGUGGUGUGAUCAGACUUGAGCUGCAGCCUUCAGCUCCUAGGCUCAAGGAAUCCUCCCACCUCAGUCUCCUGAGUAGCUGGGACUACAGGUAGGCACCACCACAUCUAGCUGAUUAAUUUGUUGUUGUUGUUGUUUUGAGAUGUGGUCUUGAUUGGUUGCCAGUCCUGGUCUUGAACUCCUGGCCUCAAGCAAUCCUCCUGCCUUAGCCUCCCAAAGUGUUGGAUUACAGGUAUGAGCCACUAUGCUUGGUUCCUUUCCUAAUUUUAAGUAAGCUUUUGCAAAAUAUUGUCCCACAUCUUGGCCAUGGCUAUGAGUGCAGGUGGGUAUUACUGGACACUUUUAGCUCUGGAACUUGUAUUUACUUGCUGUACUCAUUAGCUAGGUUUUAAAAACUGUACUUUAGGGGCUCCUAGGGAUUAACUGUACUUUAGGGGCUGCAGGAACAAAAACAUGGAGGGGUGAGGGAAGCACAUCUCCUGGAAGUCAUUUGGACAAGAUUCCUUCUCACUUAAGACCACAACUAGAAGCAAGAAGUCAUUUGUGCUUGAAUAUUGACCUGGACUUACCAUCUGGAGUUCCUGUAUUUGUGAAGAUUUCUUCAAAAACUUGAUCCAAAUAUUAUUUCAGAGGAAGCAGUUAAUUUGAAACAUAGUAUAUUAGGUUUAGGAUUAACUCAACUAUUUUGUAUUUAUAUUCCCAGAAACAUUGUAUUCUUUUCCAUUGAAACAUACACACCACACCCACACCCACCCACACACAUACGUACUUUAUAGAAUACACUGUACCUGUCUAUUGCAGAGAGUUUUAUGGUGCAUCUAGCCAAAACCAAUAAAAUGUGG
Molecule: long non-coding RNA, 1341 nt
Filed under: Homo sapiens (human)
Lineage: Eukaryota; Metazoa; Chordata; Mammalia; Primates; Hominidae
Description: HSALNT0160683
Source: RNAcentral